Molecule: ribosomal RNA, 678 nt
Filed under: uncultured Bacteroidales bacterium
Lineage: Bacteria; Pseudomonadati; Bacteroidota; Bacteroidia; Bacteroidales
Description: bacterial SSU rRNA
Rfam family: Bacterial small subunit ribosomal RNA
Source: RNAcentral
GAUGGCGACCGGCGCACGGGUGAGUAACACGUAUCCAACCUGCCGUCUACUCUUGGACAGCCUUCUGAAAGGAAGAUUAAUACAAGAUGGCAUCAUGAGUCCGCAUGUUCACAUGAUUAAAGGUAUUCCGGUAGACGAUGGGGAUGCGUUCCAUUAGAUAGUAGGCGGGGUAACGGCCCACCUAGUCUUCGAUGGAUAGGGGUUCUGAGAGGAAGGUCCCCCACAUUGGAACUGAGACACGGUCCAAACUCCUACGGGAGGCAGCAGUGAGGAAUAUUGGUCAAUGGGCGAGAGCCUGAACCAGCCAAGUAGCGUGAAGGAUGACUGCCCUAUGGGUUGUAAACUUCUUUUGUAAAGGAAUAAAGUCGGGUAUGUAUACCCGUUUGCAUGUACUUUAUGAAUAAGGAUCGGCUAACUCCGUGCCAGCAGCCGCGGUAAUACGGAGGAUCCGAGCGUUAUCCGGAUUUAUUGGGUUUAAAGGGAGCGUAGAUGGAUGUUUAAGUCAGUUGUGAAAGUUUGCGGCUCAACCGUAAAAUUGCAGUUGAUACUGGUAUCCUUGAGUGCAGCAGAGGUGGGCGGAAUUCGUGGUGUAGCGGUGAAAUGCUUAGAUAUCACGAAGAACUCCGAUUGCGAAGGCAGCUCACUGGAGUGUAACUGACGCUGAUGCUCGAAAGUGUG